RNAcentral lists this transfer RNA (74 nucleotides) under Candidatus Methylacidithermus pantelleriae. It matches the Rfam family "tRNA". From Rfam's summary of the family: Transfer RNA (tRNA) molecules are approximately 80 nucleotides in length. Their secondary structure includes four short double-helical elements and three loops (D, anti-codon, and T loops). Further hydrogen bonds mediate the characteristic L-shaped molecular structure. tRNAs have two regions of fundamental functional importance: the anti-codon, which is responsible for specific mRNA codon recognition, and the 3' end, to which the tRNAs corresponding amino acid is attached (by aminoacyl-tRNA synthetases). tRNAs cope with the degeneracy of the genetic code in two manners: having more than one tRNA (with a specific anti-codon) for a particular amino acid; and 'wobble' base-pairing, i.e. permitting non-standard base-pairing at the 3rd anti-codon position. The record is from Rfam by way of RNAcentral. Lineage: Bacteria; Pseudomonadati; Verrucomicrobiota; Methylacidiphilae; Methylacidiphilales; Methylacidiphilaceae.
GGAGCCAUAGCUCAAUUGGUCAGAGCGCUGCCCUGUCACGGCAGAGGUUGCGGGUUCGAGACCCGUUGGCUCCG